UGAACGCUGGCGGUAUGCCUAACACAUGCAAGUCGAACGAGGUAGCAAUACCUAGUGGCGGACGGGUGAGGAAUACGUAGGGAUCUGCCUUUAAGUGGGGGAUAACCCGGGGAAACCCGGAUUAAUACCGCAUGAUCUCGCAAGAGCAAAGUGGGGGAUCGCAAGACCUCACGCUUUUAGAGGAACCUACGUCGGAUUAGCUUGUUGGUGAGGUAAUGGCUCACCAAGGCGACGACGGGUAGCCGGCCUGAGAGGGCGACCGGCCACACUGGGACUGAGAUACGGCCCAGACUCCUACGGGAGGCAGCAGUGGGGAAUAUUGCACAAUGGGCGGAAGCCUGAUGCAGCAACGCCGCGUGCGGGAUGACGGCCUUCGGGUUGUAAACCGCUUUCAGUAGGGACGAAGCUAACGUGACGGUACCUACAGAAGAAGGACCGGCUAACUACGUGCCAGCAGCCGCGGUGAUACGUAGGGUGCGAGCGUUGUCCGGAUUUAUUGGGCGUAAAGGGCUCGUAGGUGGUUGAUCGCGUCGGAAGUGUAAUCUUGGGGCUUAACCCUGAGCGUGCUUUCGAUACGGGUUGACUUGAGGAAGGUAGGGGAGAAUGGAAUUCCUGGUGGAGCGGUGGAAUGCGCAGAUAUCAGGAGGAACACCGAUGGCGAAGGCAGGUCUCUGGGCUGUUACUGACGCUGAGGAGCGAAAGCAUGGGGAGCGAACAGGAUUAGAUACCCUGGUAGUCCACGCCGUAAACGUUGGGCGCUAGAUGUAGGGACCUUUCCACGGUUUCUGUGUCGUAGCUAACGCAUUAAGCGCCCCGCCUGGGGAGUACGGCCGC
Molecule: ribosomal RNA, 834 nt
Filed under: Pavlova sp. CCMP459
Lineage: Eukaryota; Haptophyta; Pavlovophyceae; Pavlovales; Pavlovaceae
Description: partial Bacterial small subunit ribosomal RNA
Rfam family: Bacterial small subunit ribosomal RNA
Source: RNAcentral